CCAGACUCCUACGGGAGGCAGCAGUGGGGAAUAUUGCACAAUGGGGGAAACCCUGAUGCAGCGACGCCGCGUGAGUGAAGAAGUAAUUCGUUAUGUAAAGCUCUAUCAGCAGGGAAGAAAAUGACGGUACCUGAGUAAGAAGCCCCGGCUAACUACGUGCCAGCAGCCGCGGUAAUACGUAGGGGGCAAGCGUUAUCCGGAUUUACUGGGUGUAAAGGGAGCGUAGACGGCAGUGCAAGUCUGGAGUGAAAGGCCGGGGCCCAACCCCGGGACCGCUCUGGAAACUGCCCGGCUGGAGUGCGGGAGAGGUAAGCGGAAUUCCUAGUGUAGCGGUGAAAUGCGUAGAUAUUAGGAAGAACACCAGUGGCGAAGGCGGCUUGCUGGACAGUAACUGACGUUGAGGCUCGAAAGCGUGGGGAGCAAACAGGAUUAGAUACCCUCGUAAC
This 446-nucleotide ribosomal RNA is filed under the name uncultured bacterium. RNAcentral's name for it is "bacterial SSU rRNA". It matches the Rfam family "Bacterial small subunit ribosomal RNA", at positions 331 to 794 of the family's 1533-position model. The record is from RNAcentral.